Molecule: long non-coding RNA, 469 nt
Filed under: Pan troglodytes (chimpanzee)
Lineage: Eukaryota; Metazoa; Chordata; Mammalia; Primates; Hominidae
Description: lincRNA
Source: RNAcentral
GUGAAUUCACCCUUCCUCAGCCUUUUUGUUCUAUUCAGGCCCUCCAUGGAUUAAGUGAUGCUUGCUCACUUUGAGGAGGGCAGGUCUGUACUCAGUCCACUGACUCAAAUGUUAAUCUCUUCCAGAGACACCCUCAUAGACACAUGCAGAAAUGAUGUUUUAUCAGCUAUCUAGGCAACCCUUCCUUAGUGCAGUCAAGUUGACACCUAAAACUAAACAUCAUAAGCAGGGAAGAUGGUGUGGGAGGUGAGAUGUAUGUCUGUGAGCAGAAGCUGGGUGGGUCUCUGCAUGAACAUGUAGGUACGGGUGCAAGCAUGUGGGAGCUGCUGGUGGCAAAACUCAACAGAAGCAACUCAUAUUUAGGAAGUGAAUCAGAUGUCCCAUCCUCUGAGCCUGUGAUAUUUCAUGAUCUGGAACAAUAAAACACUCUCAGAGCAAGAUGUAUAAUAAAAAGCUAAAUUUUCAAGUA